GCCAGGAUAGCUCAGCAGGUAGAGCAGCCGCCCGAAAAGCGGUGUGUCGGUGGUUCAAUUCCAUUUCCUGGCACCA
Molecule: transfer RNA, 76 nt
Filed under: Betaproteobacteria bacterium
Lineage: Bacteria; Pseudomonadati; Pseudomonadota; Betaproteobacteria
Description: tRNA-Phe
Rfam family: tRNA
About the family: Transfer RNA (tRNA) molecules are approximately 80 nucleotides in length.
Source: RNAcentral